Molecule: long non-coding RNA, 742 nt
Filed under: Gallus gallus (chicken)
Lineage: Eukaryota; Metazoa; Chordata; Aves; Galliformes; Phasianidae
Description: lncRNA (ENSGALG00010029872.1)
Source: RNAcentral
GUGGCAUUCCCAUUGCAUAGGAAAAUGAGCUAAGGUGAAGAAGAAAGAAAGAGAUGUGUCACUAUAGUGGAAAUGCUAUGUAACAGCCUGAAACAGUGAUGGAGCACCUGGUGGGAAGGGAGGGCCAACCCAGGGGAGCUCAGGUGCAUGCAAUGAGUGACGCAUGUCAUGCAAUGCACCUGAGUGAUUGGAAGGGGUGGAGCCAGGAUCCACCCCUUCCCAGCCCUCAUUUAAGGGUUGGCAGUGGAGGUGAGGACAUCUUUUGCUGGAGAUCUCUGCCUACCUGAGGCCUUCCAAAGGAACCACUACUGGGAGAAUUUUGUUCUGGCCUCGCUAACGCCUCUGAGAGCUUCAACCUGACUGGGCCCACUGCUGGAUAAUGCCAUAUUACACAUGUAUUUCAAGUGUUUGGAAAAGACUUGAGUGCAUGAGCAGGUGGAGAGUAGAAGCAAGGACAGAAAAAUCAAGAAGGAUUUACCAGAGCACAGGAGUGGGACGUGCAUGUAGAUAUCCUUUAAAUGGCAUAAGCAGCCUCCUCCAGACAUAUCUAAUGAUAAGAAAGUGUACCAAGCUCCCAAACCAUGGUCCAAAUUCACAGCUACGUGUGGCAGGCUUUCAAUCACAUCUACGUAGAACCAUAGAAUCAAUAAGGUUGGAAAAGACCUCCAAGAUCAUCCAGUCCAACCAUCCACCUCUCACCAAUUCCACACUAAACCACGUCCCUCGGUACAACAUCUAAAUG